This 246-nucleotide ribosomal RNA is filed under the name uncultured bacterium. Its description in RNAcentral is "partial 16S ribosomal RNA". It matches the Rfam family "Bacterial small subunit ribosomal RNA", at positions 91 to 334 of the family's 1533-position model. The record is from RNAcentral.
AUGAGUGGCGAACGGGUGAGUAACACGUGAGUAACCUGCCCCCUUCUUUGGGAUAACGCCCGGAAACGGGUGCUAAUACUGGAUAUUCACUGAUCUUCGCAUGGGGGUUGGUGGAAAGGGUUUUUUCUGGUGGGGGAUGGGCUCGCGGCCUAUCAGCUUGUUGGUGGGGUGAUGGCCUACCAAGGCUUUGACGGGUAGCCGGCCUGAGAGGGUGGCCGGUCACAUUGGGACUGAGAUACGGCCCAG